RNAcentral lists this non-coding RNA (28 nucleotides) under Homo sapiens (human). The record is from RNAcentral. Lineage: Eukaryota; Metazoa; Chordata; Mammalia; Primates; Hominidae.
UGCCUGAAAAUACACACAGUGCUGUUGC